UAACACGUGGGUGAUCUGCCUCGCACUCUGGGAUAAGCCUGGGAAACUGGGUCUAAUACCGGAUAUGACCAUUGAUCGCAUGGUUGGUGGUGGAAAGAUUUAUCGGUGCGAGAUGGGCCCGCGGCCUAUCAGCUUGUUGGUGGGGUAAUGGCCUACCAAGGCGACGACGGGUAGCCGACCUGAGAGGGUGACCGGCCACACUGGGACUGAGACACGGCCCAGACUCCUACGGGAGGCAGCAGUGGGGAAUAUUGCACAAUGGGCGGAAGCCUGAUGCAGCGACGCCGCGUGAGGGAUGACGGCCUUCGGGUUGUAAACCUCUUUCGACAGGGACGAAGCGCAAGUGACGGUACCUGUAGAAGAAGCACCGGCCAACUACGUGCCAGCAGCCGCGGUAAUACGUAGGGUGCGAGCGUUGUCCGGAAUUACUGGGCGUAAAGAGCUUGUAGGCGGUUCGUCGCGUCGAUUGUGAAAACUUGCAGCUCAACUGCAAGCUUGCAGUCGAUACGGGCGGACUAGAGUACUUCAG
RNAcentral lists this ribosomal RNA (529 nucleotides) under Nocardia nova. RNAcentral's name for it is "bacterial SSU rRNA". It matches the Rfam family "Bacterial small subunit ribosomal RNA", at positions 111 to 654 of the family's 1533-position model. The record is from RNAcentral. Lineage: Bacteria; Bacillati; Actinomycetota; Actinomycetes; Mycobacteriales; Nocardiaceae.